Molecule: ribosomal RNA, 465 nt
Filed under: Vreelandella stevensii
Lineage: Bacteria; Pseudomonadati; Pseudomonadota; Gammaproteobacteria; Oceanospirillales; Halomonadaceae
Description: partial 16S ribosomal RNA
Rfam family: Bacterial small subunit ribosomal RNA
Source: RNAcentral
CCUACGGGUGGCAGCAGUGGAGAAUAUUGGACAAUGGGGGCAACCCUGAUCCAGCCAUGCCGCGUGUGUGAAGAAGGCCCUCGGGUUGUAAAGCACUUUCAGUGAGGAAGAACGCCUGGUGGUUAAUACCCAUCAGGAAAGACAUCACUCACAGAAGAAGCACCGGCUAACUCCGUGCCAGCAGCCGCGGUAAUACGGAGGGUGCGAGCGUUAAUCGGAAUUACUGGGCGUAAAGCGCGCGUAGGUGGCUUGAUAAGCCGGUUGUGAAAGCCCCGGGCUCAACCUGGGAACGGCAUCCGGAACUGUCAAGCUAGAGUGCAGGAGAGGAAGGUAGAAUUCCCGGUGUAGCGGUGAAAUGCGUAGAGAUCGGGAGGAAUACCAGUGGCGAAGGCGGCCUUCUGGACUGACACUGACACUGAGGUGCGAAAGCGUGGGUAGCAAACAGGAUUAGAUACCCGAGUAGUC